UAGGGAAUCUUCGGCAAUGGACGAAAGUCUGACCGAGCAACGCCGCGUGAGUGAAGAAGGUUUUCGGAUCGUAAAACUCUGUUGUUAGAGAAGAACAAGGACGUUAGUAACUGAACGUCCCCUGACGGUAUCUAACCAGAAAGCCACGGCUAACUACGUGCCAGCAGCCGCGGUAAUACGUAGGUGGCAAGCGUUGUCCGGAUUUAUUGGGCGUAAAGCGAGCGCAGGCGGUUUCUUAAGUCUGAUGUGAAAGCCCCCGGCUCAACCGGGGAGGGUCAUUGGAAACUGGGAGACUUGAGUGCAGAAGAGGAGAGGGGAAUUCCAUGUGGAGCGGUGAAAUGCGUAGAUAUAUGGAGGAACACCAGUGGCGAAGGCGGCUCUCUGGUCUGUAACUGACGCUGAGGCUCGAAAGCGUGGGGAGCAAACAGG
This 429-nucleotide ribosomal RNA is filed under the name Gemmatimonadota bacterium. Its description in RNAcentral is "Gemmatimonadetes bacterium partial 16S ribosomal RNA". It matches the Rfam family "Bacterial small subunit ribosomal RNA", at positions 355 to 776 of the family's 1533-position model. Lineage: Bacteria; Pseudomonadati; Gemmatimonadota. The record is from RNAcentral.